RNAcentral lists this ribosomal RNA (465 nucleotides) under uncultured Klebsiella sp. RNAcentral's name for it is "bacterial SSU rRNA". It matches the Rfam family "Bacterial small subunit ribosomal RNA", at positions 338 to 795 of the family's 1533-position model. The record is from RNAcentral. Lineage: Bacteria; Pseudomonadati; Pseudomonadota; Gammaproteobacteria; Enterobacterales; Enterobacteriaceae.
CCUACGGGUGGCUGCAGUGGGGAAUAUUGCACAAUGGGCGCAAGCCUGAUGCAGCCAUGCCGCGUGUGUGAAGAAGGCCUUCGGGUUGUAAAGCACUUUCAGCGGGGAGGAAGGCGUUAAGGUUAAUAACCUUGGCGAUUGACGUUACCCGCAGAAGAAGCACCGGCUAACUCCGUGCCAGCAGCCGCGGUAAUACGGAGGGUGCAAGCGUUAAUCGGAAUUACUGGGCGCAAAGCGCACGCAGGCGGUCUGUCAAGUCGGAUGUGAAAUCCCCGGGCUCAACCUGGGAACUGCAUUCGAAACUGGCAGGCUAGAGUCGUGUAGAGGGGGGUAGAAUUCCAGGUGUAGCGGUGAAAUGCGUAGAGAUCUGGAGGAAUACCGGUGGCGAAGGCGGCCCCCUGGACAAAGACUGACGCUCAGGUGCGAAAGCGUGGGGAGCAAACAGGAUUAGAUACCCGUGUAGUC